UGUGGUCAAGUUUCUAAGAGCAAACGGUGGAUGCCUUGGCAUCUGGAGCCGAAGAAGGACGUAGAAAUCUGCGAUAAGCCUCGGGGAGCUGAUAAUCGAGCCCUGAUCCGAGGAUGUCCGAAUGGGGAAACCCCGCCAGGCGUUUUGACCUGGUGACUCCCGCCUGAAUAUAUAGGGCGGGUAGAGGGAACGUGGGGAAGUGAAACAUCUCAGUACCCACAGGAAGAGAAAACAACAGUGAUUCCGUCAGUAGUGGCGAGCGAAAUCGGAAGAGGCUAAACCGGUCAUGUGUGAUAGACGGCGGUCGUUGCAUGGUCGGGGUUGUGGGACCCGUUGUCCUGUUCUGCCGGACAGGAGCAGUUACAGCGCAGUAUAGGCGAACAGCUUUGAAUGGCUGGUCAUAGAGGGUGCGAACCCCGUAGCCGAAAUGCUGGCGCUGGCUGAAUGGGGAUCCCAAGUAGCUCGGGGCCCGAGAAAUCCCGUGUGAAUCUGUCAGGACCACCUGAUAAGCCUAAAUACUCCCAGAUGACCGAUAGCGGACAAGUACCGUGAGGGAAAGGUGAAAAGUACCCCGGGAGGGGAGUGAAAUAGUACCUGAAACCGUUUGCUUACAAACCGUUGGAGCCUCCUUGUAGGGGUGACAGCGUGCCUUUUGAAGAAUGAGCCUGCGAGUUAGCGAUAUGUGGCGAGGUUAACCCGUGUGGGGUAGCCGUAGCGAAAGCGAGUCUUAAGAGGGCGAUACAGUCGCAUGUCCUAGACCCGAAGCGAAGUGAUCUAUCCAUGGCCAGGUUGAAGCGACGGUAAGACGUCGUGGAGGACCGAACCCACUUCAGUUGAAAAUGGAGGGGAUGAGCUGUGGAUAGGGGUGAAAGGCCAAUCAAACUUCGUGAUAGCUGGUUCUCUCCGAAAUGCAUUUAGGUGCAGCGUUGCGUGUUUCUUGCCGGAGGUAGAGCUACUGGAUGGCCGAUGGGGCCCAAAAGCUUACUGACGUCAGCCAAACUCCGAAUGCCGGUAAGUGAGAGCGCAGCAGUGAGACAGUGGGGGAUAAGCUUCAUUGUCGAGAGGGAAACAACCCAGACUACCAGCUAAGGUCCCUAAGCGUGUGCUAAGUGGGAAAGGAUGUGGAGUUGCAGAGACAACCAGGAGGUUGGCUUAGAAGCAGCCACCCUUGAAAGAGUGCGUAAUAGCUCACUGGUCAAGUGAUUCCGCGCCGACAAUGUAACGGGGCUCAAGCACACCACCGAAGCUGUAGAUUUCGUAUUAUAGACAAGCCUUCGUGGUUCAGUCGUACGGAGUGGUAGGAGAGCGUCGUGUGGCCAGUGAAGCGGCGGUGUAAACCAGCCGUGGAGGCCACACGAGUGAGAAUGCAGGCAUGAGUAGCGAAAGACGGGUGAGAAACCCGUCCUCCGAAAGACCAAGGGUUCCAGGGCCAGGUUAAUCCGCCCUGGGUAAGUCGGGACCUAAGGCGAGGCCGACAGGCGUAGUCGAUGGACAACGGGUUGAUAUUCCCGUACCGGCGAAGAACCGCCCAAGAUAAUCCAGUGGUGCUAAGAGUCCUAACCCGGCUGAGUGGAUCCCUUCGGGGUGAUGCCGGCCGGUCUAACGCUCGACCCCAUGCUGGUGCGUUUAGCGUAUUAACAGGUGUGACGCAGGAAGGUAGCUGAGCCAGGCGAUGGUAUCCGUAAGGUGAACCUGGUGUAAGGAUGUAGGGCUGACGAUAGGCAAAUCCGUCGUCAAUGCGCCUGAGAUCCGAUGCGUACCCCGAUUGGGGGAAAUCAGUGAUCCUAUGCUGCCGAGAAAAGCAUCGACGCGAGGUUCAAGCCGCCCGUACCCCAAACCGACUCAGGUGGUCAGGUAGAGAAUACCAAGGAGAUCGAGAGAAUCGUGGUUAAGGAACUCGGCAAAAUGCCCCCGUAACUUCGGGAGAAGGGGGGCCGGAACCGUGAUGGGAUUUACUCCCGGAGCGGGAAAGGCCGCAGAGACCAGUGGGAAGCGACUGUUUACUAAAAACACAGGUCCGUGCCAAGUCGCAAGACGAUGUAUACGGACUGACGCCUGCCCGGUGCUGGAAGGUUAAGAGGAACGGUUAGCGCAAGCGAAGCUGAGAAUUUAAGCCCCAGUAAACGGCGGUGGUAACUAUAACCAUCCUAAGGUAGCGAAAUUCCUUGUCGGGUAAGUUCCGACCUGCACGAAUGGCGUAACGACUUCCCAGCUGUCUCAACCGCGAACUCGGCGAAAUUGCACUACGAGUAAAGAUGCUCGUUACGCGCAGCAGGACGGAAAGACCCCGUGACCUUUACUACAGCUUGGUAUUGGUGUUCGGAGUGGCUUGUGUAGGAUAGGUGGGAGACUGUGAAGCUUGGACGCUAGUUCAGGCGGAGUCAUUGUUGAAAUACCACUCUGGUCACUUUGGAUAUCUAACUACGAACCGUGAUCCGGUUCUGGGACAGUGCCUGGUGGGUAGUUUAACUGG
RNAcentral lists this ribosomal RNA (2473 nucleotides) under Frigoribacterium sp. PhB116. RNAcentral describes it as "23S ribosomal RNA". It matches the Rfam family "Bacterial large subunit ribosomal RNA", at positions 1 to 2277 of the family's 2925-position model. The record is from RNAcentral. Lineage: Bacteria; Bacillati; Actinomycetota; Actinomycetes; Micrococcales; Microbacteriaceae.